Molecule: unclassified non-coding RNA, 121 nt
Filed under: fungal sp.
Lineage: Eukaryota; Fungi
Description: partial internal transcribed spacer region
Source: RNAcentral
UUGAGCUGGAUCGCCACGCCGCGGCCGUGGGCUUCGGUGAUGCCGAAGCGGAUCGAGCGGAACAUCGAGGCGAGGUACGUCGUGUACAUCGUUUCGUUGAACGACUUGUCCAGCUUCUCGC